Molecule: ribosomal RNA, 253 nt
Filed under: uncultured bacterium
Lineage: Bacteria
Description: partial 16S ribosomal RNA
Rfam family: Bacterial small subunit ribosomal RNA
Source: RNAcentral
UCCGAAGGGGGCUAGCGUUGUUCGGAAUUACUGGGCGUAAAGCGCGCGCAGGCGGCUAUCCAAGUCAGUGGUGAAAGCCCGGAGCUCAACUCCGGAACUGCCAUUGAAACUGUUUAGCUUGAGGACGAGAGAGGUGAGUGGAAUUCCCAGUGUAGAGGUGAAAUUCGUAGAUAUUGGGAAGAACACCGGUGGCGAAGGCGGCUCACUGGCUCGUUUCUGACGCUCAGGCGCGACAGCGUGGGGAUCAAACAGG